RNAcentral lists this ribosomal RNA (120 nucleotides) under uncultured bacterium. Its description in RNAcentral is "partial 16S ribosomal RNA". It matches the Rfam family "Bacterial small subunit ribosomal RNA", at positions 796 to 918 of the family's 1533-position model. The record is from RNAcentral.
CACGCCGUAAACGAUGAAUGCUGGUUGUUGGUCUUUAAAGAUCAGUGACGACGUAAACACGAUAAGCAUUCCGCCUGGGGAGUACGAUCGCAAGAUUGAAACUCAAAGGAAUUGACGGGG